UGAGGAAUAUUAGUCAAUGGGCGCAAGCCUGAACCAGCCAUCCCGCGUGCAGGAAGACGGCCCUAUGGGUUGUAAACUGCUUUUCCAGGGAGAGAAACUUGCGUACGCGUUGCGCAAUUGACGGUACCCUGGGAAUAAGCAUCGGCUAACUCCGUGCCAGCAGCCGCGGUAAUACGGAGGAUGCAAGCGUUAUCCGGAUUCAUUGGGUCUAAAGGGUGCGUAGGCGGUUUCAAAAGUCAGAUGUGAAAUUUUUCCGCUCACCGGGAAAACUGCAUCUGAAACUUUGAGACUCGAGUUUGUGGGAAGGGAGUGGAAUUCUCGGUGUAGCGGUGAAAUGUGUAGAUAUCGAGAAGAACACCAGUGGCGAAAGCGGCUCUCUACCAUAAAACUGACGCUGAGGCGCGAAAGCUAGGGGAGCAAACG
This 423-nucleotide ribosomal RNA is filed under the name uncultured prokaryote. RNAcentral describes it as "bacterial SSU rRNA". It matches the Rfam family "Bacterial small subunit ribosomal RNA", at positions 355 to 774 of the family's 1533-position model. The record is from RNAcentral.